CUCGCAAGACCUGGUUGUUUAAAAGUGGGCGGCACCUUCCCCUUCGCUCUUCCUCCUGCUCCUGCCCUGGUGUGUCUGGAUGGUGACAGAUGGGAAUCUUCUCCAGUGACCAGAAUCCAUGCCUUACCUUGGGAGCCCAAGCUAACUUCUCAAGCUCUGGGGAUGCCUCAGUGAUCUCUGAUAUGGAAUUAGUGGAGGCUGGCCGUUGCUCACCUCUACACAGCCUGCUGGUCAUUAGCGAGCAGGAGUUCUGAUGUUCCUCUCAUCUUGGAUGUCUUUCCUAGGAGAAUAUUUCUCACGUGUUUGACAGAAAACACUACCUGUCCAUCAUUUCCAUGGAUUCCUGGGUCUCACGGGCAGAAGGACAAGGCAGAUAUGAGGAGGAUCUGGUAAAACCAUAAACACCAUGAGAUUAGAGCAUCCGUCUGUAGACUCACAGAGCAAGAAGCGUGACUGCCCCAAUCUCGAAUGGAUGAGUAAGAUGAAAAUCAAUUUAUAAACAUCUCGUGACAAGUUGGAAUUCAGUUAUAGAUCAAUUACAGAUUGCUCACUGGACAAUCAAGGACAUUAUUAGAAAACAGUUUCCACCACUAGAAAUUCAUCUACAUCGACAUCCACCUAAAUAUCCAGAAGGUCAUCCCCACUUUCGUCGCUCUCCACAGUCAGCUGCCGGGUCCACCACUUCUUAACUUCAGAACCGCAGGAAGCCGCGUCAGUCAUGGGGUUCAUUUUGCACACGACAGAUUUCAUGGUUGUCCUUCCUCCAAACCGAGGAACCUAGAUCUUCUCUGAUCUCUGAAAAAUAAGUUCCUGGAUAUGAAAGGGGAUACUUUCCUUGGUGGUAGUCCCAGUGAAGACCCACUGAACAUCGUCAGCCUCAAAAUGUAAGCUGUGCUGUCAUCUGCUUUGUGGAACACAUAUGCUACACAUCUUCUCCUUUCAAUUGGGCUGAAGUUGGGGCACAGUUAAAGAGCAUUAUAAAGCUCCUGCUUUAGCAUGAACUUAGUUAUCUAUAGAAAAAAACAUGUACAAGGACUCUGGACUGUGGGGAGCAUUGCUCUCCCUCCAUUCCUGAGUGCUCUUAAUGGGAUUAUCCUGGCUUUCCAAAACCCUAUAGAGAAGAAGCUCAUAGAAGAAAAUUCUCUUACUGAAUCAGUAAAAUAUGGAAAAUAAUGGGAUUGUUUAUUAAAGGACUGAAUGAGAGAACACAAGUAAUGCACUUAGAAGAGUGACUGGCAUACAGUGAGUACUACGUGCUGGCUUCUCAACCACGAUAGCCUGAAAUGUACCCGGAAAAUGGGGGCUAAUGUAAGUCAUAUUUAGAGAAGUUAUUUUGGGGGACAAUGUUUUUGACAAGACUACAUUUUUCAUUAUGUUGCUGUCUGUAAACAACUGUAGAUGCAGACUUGCAUUUUGAAAGGCAAGACCCAAAACACACAAACAGAGUAAAUACCUUUAAAAUGCCUCGAUCGCUGGAGAAAUGCCUGGAUGGACCUACCUGAGGGCAGACGCCACUGCCCAAAUUUCCUCUGGGGUUUCCCUGCAUCGGCGGCAUCUUGCCGACUUCCUCCUCGAUCCGACAGCGUGGGGCUCAGGAGCUGCUGCUGGCUGCUUGUCUGCAUGGGAGGAGAAGCACACAGUUACCGUCUUUUUAACCCUGCACUCUCCUCCUUUUACUAUAAGAAAGGAAAACACAUGGCAGGAGGACAAGUGGGAAGAACAACAUGGACUCAGAGUGUCCACAAUGGGGAAAAGUGAAAAUGGGUAUAAAGGGUCACAGAAGAAAAAGAGCCACCACUGCACGCCCUGCUGAAGGAGACACCACUCUUCCUGGGACAUCUUGUCCUGGGUAACCCCCACUGCUUCGUUCCCCUCCAUGCCUGAGAAUGUCAUUGUUUCCCUUCAUAUCUUCGCUGGCAAACCAGGGGGUAAGGAAGGGGAACUGCAGGAAGGAAGGUGGGGCAGUGGGGACCGGCUGGGCGGGGGCAGUCUACUGUCACCAGCCUGGAGAUCCACACUUAGAGCUUCAGGGAAAGAGUUCUCUGCAGGCAAAGCUGUAUGAUGGGCCCUGGCGGAGGAUGGAGCUGAUAACAAUCUAAGCUACAGUCAAAGAGAGAUGCCAAGACUUCCCACACAUUUCACCUGUUCUCAGGUUCACCUGUCACCUCUCCCUUUCCUAACAAAAGCCUUGGUCUUCACAUCUCUUUAGUAUCCUCUCUCUUUUUUUUGUCACCUCUUAGGCUUUUUCAUCUAAAAACAGAGGGCUCUGAAAUCAUCACUUUCCCCAACCUCAUUAUUAGCCCUGUCUCACUGUCUGUCCUGACUUCAGCCUGCCUCCCUCUCCCAUGCGAGACAUUGCCAACCAUCUUCAGGGUGACCAGUGGCAAGGCCACUGCAGAUGCCUCCCCUUGCCCCUUGGUUGACUAACUAACUCCGCAGAAGUCCCUGCAGUCGGUGGCAGAUGAUUUCUAAAGGCUGGGGAGCCCAAAACAUGAGAUCUACUGAAAACUGAGCUAUGGCACCAGUGGGCCUCCUGGAGCACCCUGCUGGGCCAUGGAGCCUUAGGCUUCCAAAGGUACUCUGGCCCCUGGCUGCGUUGCUGCACACCAUGGAGCCUGGUGCUGCUGGGGGCUCUGCACAGAGCAUGGGAUCAGCUCCACGUUGUUAACCUCAAAUCGUAAUUGCUGCCUCAUAAAGGGGCAGGUCCUCCCAGCCAGCUGCUUCUCACAGCACAGGACUCUCCAGGACGCUGAUAACUCCUUGUACUUUUUUAUAUAGACACAUACAUAGAGUUUGAAAAUGAAAAUAUGCUGUGACUUAAUAAAUAGAAACUCCUCAA
This 2839-nucleotide non-coding RNA is filed under the name Pan troglodytes (chimpanzee). Lineage: Eukaryota; Metazoa; Chordata; Mammalia; Primates; Hominidae. The record is from RNAcentral.